RNAcentral lists this ribosomal RNA (484 nucleotides) under uncultured bacterium. RNAcentral describes it as "partial 16S ribosomal RNA". It matches the Rfam family "Bacterial small subunit ribosomal RNA", at positions 30 to 507 of the family's 1533-position model. The record is from RNAcentral.
AUUGAACGCUGGCGGCAGGCCUAACACAUGCAAGUCGAGCGGAUGAAGGGAGCUUGCUCCUGGAUUCAGCGGCGGACGGGUGAGUAAUGCCUAGGAAUCUGCCUGGUAGUGGGGGAUAACGUCCGGAAACGGGCGCUAAUACCGCAUACGUCCUGAGGGAGAAAGUGGGGGAUCUUCGGACCUCACGCUAUCAGAUGAGCCUAGGUCGGAUUAGCUAGUUGGUGGGGUAAAGGCCUACCAAGGCGACGAUCCGUAACUGGUCUGAGAGGAUGAUCAGUCACACUGGAACUGAGACACGGUCCAGACUCCUACGGGAGGCAGCAGUCGGGAAUGUUGGACAGUGGGCGAAAGCCUGAUCCAGCCAGGCCGCGUGUGUGAAGAAGGUCUUCGGAUUGUAAAGCACUUUAAGUUGGGAGGAAGGGCAGUAAGUUAAUACCUUGCUGUUUUGACGUUACCAACAGAAUAAGCACCGGCUAACUUCGUG